UUUUUUUUGAAAUACGCUCUUUUUGUUCGAAACCAAUGAACUUUUCUGUAAUUCAUGAAAAUUUUCCCAAAUGUUUUCAAAUAAUUUAAAAAUCAAAGCGCUACAGUACGUUUACAUGUAUAUGAAUAAAUUGUGCGGCGACAGAGUACUUUAAACAGUCUUCCUUGAUUUCGCCAGUAGUCCGGUGUAGUGUAGUUGGUUUGCCCGUGUCGUUCGCUACUCGACCAAUUUUUGGCUGUUCUUUGCUCGCUUGACUUUUUGCUGGGCCGGCCCAGUUCACAGCCGCGUGGGCGCCCGAACUGCCAACUGGCGCUAAAGGCGCCCGUUAGGAGCUCCCGUACGCCAGACGAUCGAGUCGGCACCGCCUUCCCAGCGCAAAGCGGUACCGCGUACGCUGACGCAGCCCACCACACGUCGACGAAGGGCGACGCGCAGCCCAGAGAAGGAAGGAGGCCCGCCCACGUAUACAACCAACGUAUAAACCCUAGAAAAGCAAGUCAACGGAGCAGGCUGGCCCAUGCGCACCCAAUAUCGCUAGCUGCACCAACAGAGUAGCUACGCACGUUCAAAAAAUUUGAAACAAAACCCUGGAUACACAACGCAUUUGUACACCACCAUGUACCAAAAAAAUAACACGUGCCAUGUGCCACUUUACCUAGGGGUCAUUUUCAUCCAAGUGUAUCAAUAUUGGAGCGAAAACUUGGCCUGAAAUAGAUGCUUGGGUACUAGCACAACUUGACUCAACAAGGAGUAUAUCCAGCACUGAGUACCAGAUCGAUUAAACAGCUAUCACCACCACCAUCUGCAAAAAUUAAUCUGAUGGUAGGUGAUCUAUGCACAUAAAUAAUGAUUUAGCAACAUAUACUCCUUGUAACAAAUGUCCAGUUAAUGAUCACUAUUGUAACUACUACUUUAACCAUUGGCAAUUUCAGACAGAAAAGAUCAAACAAUCAAGAUGACAGUGUGCACUAAUCAACAAUCCCUAACACAUUUUCGGAUAAAGAUCAACAACAUCUACACGCACAAGAUUUAGUAUUCAGAUUCAGAUUCAGUAUUCAGUGCCCCUCUAUCUUUAUCAAAUUCAGAUGCAAAUUCUCACUGGACAAAAAGCCAUCACAAGAUUCAUAACCAAGAUGCAACUGUAGGAAAAAAGCUGAACGUACACGGUGCGAACAGGACCGCUGAUGCCGACGGUGAAGACGUGGUCGGCGAAGUGGCGGGAGAAGAGAGGCGGCACGUGCUUGGAGAAGACCAAUUUUAGCCAAGAGCGAUUCUUGGUGUGGACUGUGGAGUUGAGCAGAUGCAGUCGGGACCGACUUCGUGGCCGACGGCAUCCACCCAGUGAGGAGGUGUUCGACGACAUGUAGGGCUAGCUUCGGCUCGCCGCCCUCGGGGAAGGACGUCUCCCGUCGGGGAGCAUAUAAAAAAAAAUCAAGCCUUCUCCUUGCCAUGGUUCUCCAUGGGGAACGAGGGGGAAGCAACGCGGCGGUGGCGUGGGGCGGGGGAGCUCCAAGCGUCGCGCGGGAGAGCUAUGUGGGGGAGCAGAGGAGGGGAGCUCUGGCAUGGGGGAGCUGACCAAGGGAGCUCCAACGACGCGUAGGAGAGCUAUGGGGGGAGCAGAGGAGGGGAGCUCUAGCGUGGGGGAGCUGAGCAAG
RNAcentral lists this long non-coding RNA (1655 nucleotides) under Triticum aestivum (bread wheat). RNAcentral describes it as "long non-coding RNA (TAES_LNC026425)". The record is from RNAcentral. Lineage: Eukaryota; Viridiplantae; Streptophyta; Magnoliopsida; Poales; Poaceae.